This 650-nucleotide ribosomal RNA is filed under the name uncultured bacterium. Its description in RNAcentral is "bacterial SSU rRNA". It matches the Rfam family "Bacterial small subunit ribosomal RNA", at positions 8 to 632 of the family's 1533-position model. The record is from RNAcentral.
AGAGUUUGAUCCCGGCUCAGAGCGAACGUUAGCGGCAGGCUUAACACAUGCAAGUCGAGCGAGAAAGUAGGCUUCGGUCUACGAGUAAAGCGGCGGACGGGUGCGUAACACGUGGGUAACCUUCCUUUUGGCGGGGGAUAACAGUUCGAAAGAAUUGCUAAUACCCCAUAAGUCGGCGAGGUCUUCGGAUCUUGUCGGGAAAGGAUGACCUCUAUUUAUAAGUUGUCGCCAGAAGACGGGCCCGCGGCCCAUCAGCUUGUUGGUGAGGUAAUGGCUCACCAAGGCUAAGACGGGUAGCUGGUCUGAGAGGAUGAUCAGCCACACUGGGACUGCGACACGGCCCAGACUCCUACGGGAGGCAGCAGUGGGGAAUCUUGGACAAUGGGCGAAAGCCUGAUCCAGCCAUGCCGCGUGUGUGAUGAAGGCCUUCGGGUCGUAAAGCACUGUGGAAAGGGGCGAAAUGCUCUUGGUUAAUACCCAAGAGAGUUGACAGUACCUUUUUAGCAAGCACCGGCUAACUCCGUGCCAGCAGCCGCGGUAAUACGGAGGGUGCAAACGUUGCUCGGAAUCAUUGGGCGUAAAGCGCGUGUAGGCGGUCUUCUAAGUCAGACGUGAAAGCCCUGGGCUUAACCCAGGAAGUGCAUCUGAUA